RNAcentral lists this ribosomal RNA (393 nucleotides) under uncultured bacterium. RNAcentral's name for it is "partial 16S ribosomal RNA". It matches the Rfam family "Bacterial small subunit ribosomal RNA", at positions 523 to 918 of the family's 1533-position model. The record is from RNAcentral.
AUACGGAGGAUGCGAGCGUUAUCCGGAUUUAUUGGGUUUAAAGGGAGCGUGGGUGGGAUAUUAAGUCAGCUGUGAAAGUUUGGGGCUCAACCUUAAAAUUGCAGUUGAUACUGGUUUCCUUGAGUACGGUACAGGUGGGCGGAAUUCAUGGUGUAGCGGUGAAAUGCUUAGAUAUCACGAAGAACUCCGAUCGCGAAGGCAGCUCACCGGGCCGGAACUGACACUGAUGCUCGAAAGUGCGGGUAUCAAACAGGAUUAGAUACCCUGGUAGUCCGCACAGUAAACGAUGAAUACUCGCUGUUUGCGAUACACGGUAAGCGGCCAAGCGAAAGCGUUAAGUAUUCCACCUGGGGAGUACGCCGGCAACGGUGAAACUCAAAGGAAUUGACGGGG